CAGAAGAGGCUACAACAUCAACAGAAGGCAGUGGCACAUCGGGAACUGGAUUCAGAACUGAGGCCACUACUUCCACAGAAGGAAGUGGGACUACCCAAGCAGGACUUGUAGGAGGUACCACAACACUUUCACCUGGAGCCAGCAGCAGUUCACAGAAAACCACGCCAGGUA
Long non-coding RNA from Myotis daubentonii (Daubenton's bat), 171 nucleotides. RefSeq lists it as uncharacterized. The record is from RefSeq and is a predicted model, not a curated record. The transcript has 3 exons. Lineage: Eukaryota; Metazoa; Chordata; Mammalia; Chiroptera; Vespertilionidae.